Molecule: ribosomal RNA, 468 nt
Filed under: uncultured bacterium
Lineage: Bacteria
Description: partial 16S ribosomal RNA
Rfam family: Bacterial small subunit ribosomal RNA
Source: RNAcentral
GACGAACGCUGGCGGCGUGCUUAACACAUGCAAGUCGAACGGAAAGGCCUUGCUUUUGUGGGGUGCUCGAGUGGCGAACGGGUGAGUAUCACGUGAGUAACCUCCCCUUUACUUUGGGAUAACUUCAGGAAACUGGGGCUAAUACCGGAUAGGAGCUCUUGCUGCAUGGUGGGGGUUGGAAAGUUUCGGCGGUUGGGGAUGGACUCGCGGCUUAUCAGCUUGUUGGUGGGGUAGUGGCUUACCAAGGCUUUGACGGGUAGCCGGCCUGAGAGGGUGACCGGGCACAUUGGGACUGAGAAACGGCCCAGACUGCUACGGGAGGCAGCAGUGGGAAAUAUUGCACAAUAGGCGGAAGCCUGAAGCAGCAACGCCGCGUGCGGGAUGACGGCCUUCGGGGUGUAAACCGCUUUCGCCUGUGACGAAGCGUGAGUGACGGUAAUGGGUAAAGAAGCACCGGCUAACUACGUG